GACGAACGCUGGCGGCGUGCUUAACACAUGCUAGUCGAACGGUGAAAGCGGAGCUUGCUCCGCUGGAUCAGUGGCGAACGGGUGAGUAACACGUGAGCCACCUGCCCCUGCCUUCGGGAUACCUCCUCGAAAGAGGUGCUAAUACCGGAUACGAAUCCUUCAGGCAUCUGCGGGAUUGGAAAGGUUUUCGGUCAGGGAUGGGCCCGCGGCCUAUCAGGUUGUUGGUGGGGUAGUGGCUCACCAAGGCGCCGACGGGUAGCCGGCCUGAGAGGGCGACCGGGCACACUGGGAGUGAGGCACGGCCCAGACUCCUACGGGAGGCAGCAGUGGGGAAUAUUGCGCAAUGGGCGAAAGCCUGACGCAGCAACGCCGCGUGAGGGAUGACGGCCUUCGGGUUGUAAACCCCUUUCAGCAGGGAAGAAGCGAAAGUGACGGUACCUGCAGAAGAAGCACCGGCUAACUACGUGCCAGCCGCCGCUGUAA
This 483-nucleotide ribosomal RNA is filed under the name uncultured bacterium. Its description in RNAcentral is "partial 16S ribosomal RNA". It matches the Rfam family "Bacterial small subunit ribosomal RNA", at positions 28 to 523 of the family's 1533-position model. The record is from RNAcentral.